UCCGGUUUGUCACCGGCAGUCUCGCAUGAGUCCCCAACUAAAUGCUAGCAACAUGCGACGGGGGUUGCGCUCGUUGCGGGACUUAACCCAACAUCUCACGACACGAGCUGACGACAGCCAUGCACCACCUGUGAUCCUGCCCCGAAGGGAAGCCCUAUCUCUAGGGAUGUCUGGCGCAUGUCAAGCCCAGGUAAGGUUCUUCGCGUUGCGUCGAAUUGAACCACAUGCUCCACCGCUUGUGCGGGCCCCCGUCAAUUCCUUUGAGUUUCAGCCUUGCGACUGUAUUCCCCAGGCGGCACAUUUAACGCGUUAGCUCCGGCACAGACCGACUGAACGGCCUACACCAAAUGUGCAUCGUUUAGGGCGUGGACUAC
RNAcentral lists this unclassified non-coding RNA (374 nucleotides) under uncultured bacterium. RNAcentral's name for it is "contains 16S-23S intergenic spacer region". The record is from RNAcentral.